This 497-nucleotide ribosomal RNA is filed under the name uncultured bacterium. RNAcentral describes it as "partial 16S ribosomal RNA". It matches the Rfam family "Bacterial small subunit ribosomal RNA", at positions 28 to 507 of the family's 1533-position model. The record is from RNAcentral.
GAUGAACGCUGGCGGCGUGCCUAAUACAUGCAAGUCGAGCGAACAGACGAGGAGCUUGCUCCUUCGACGUUAGCGGCGGACGGGUGAGUAACACGUAGGUAACCUACCUAUAAGACUGGGAUAACUUCGGGAAACCGGCGCUAAUACCGGAUAAUAUUUCGAACCGCAUGGUUCGAUAGUGAAAGAUGGCUUUGCUAUCACUUAUAGAUGGACCUGCGCCGUAUUAGCUAGUUGGUAAGGUAACGGCUUACCAAGGCAACGAUACGUAGCCGACCUGAGAGGGUGAUCGGCCACACUGGAACUGAGACACGGUCCAGACUCCUACGGGAGGCAGCAGUAGGGAAUCUUCCGCAAUGGGCGAAAGCCUGACGGAGCAACGCCGCGUGAGUGAUGAAGGUCUUCGGAUCGUAAAACUCUGUUAUUAGGGAAGAACAAACGUGUAAGUAACUGUGCACGUCUUGACGGUACCUAAUCAGAAAGCCACGGCUAACUACGUG